GACGAACGCUGGCGGCGUGCCUAAUACAUGCAAGUAGAACGCUGAAGAGAGGAGCUCGCUCUUCUUGGAUGAGUUGCGAACGGGUGAGUAACGCGUAGGUAACCUGCCUUGUAGCGGGGGAUAACUAUUGGAAACGAUAGCUAAUACCGCAUAACAAUGGAUGACACAUGUCAUUUAUUUGAAAGGGGCAAUUGCUCCACUACAAGAUGGACCUGCGUUGUAUUAGCUAGUAGGUGAGGUAAUGGCUCACCUAGGCGACGAUACAUAGCCGACCUGAGAGGGUGAUCGGCCACACUGGGACUGAGACACGGCCCAGACUCCUACGGGAGGCAGCAGUAGGGAAUCUUCGGCAAUGGGGGCAACCCUGACCGAGCAACGCCGCGUGAGUGAAGAAGGUUUUCGGAUCGUAAAGUUCUGUUGUAAGUCAAGAACGGGUGUGAGAGUGGAAAGUUCACACUGUGACGGUAGCUUACCAGAAAGGGACGGCUAACUACGUG
RNAcentral lists this ribosomal RNA (497 nucleotides) under uncultured bacterium. RNAcentral describes it as "partial 16S ribosomal RNA". It matches the Rfam family "Bacterial small subunit ribosomal RNA", at positions 28 to 507 of the family's 1533-position model. The record is from RNAcentral.